RNAcentral lists this transfer RNA (72 nucleotides) under Thiorhodovibrio frisius. Its description in RNAcentral is "Thiorhodovibrio sp. 970 tRNA". It matches the Rfam family "tRNA". From Rfam's summary of the family: Transfer RNA (tRNA) molecules are approximately 80 nucleotides in length. Their secondary structure includes four short double-helical elements and three loops (D, anti-codon, and T loops). Further hydrogen bonds mediate the characteristic L-shaped molecular structure. tRNAs have two regions of fundamental functional importance: the anti-codon, which is responsible for specific mRNA codon recognition, and the 3' end, to which the tRNAs corresponding amino acid is attached (by aminoacyl-tRNA synthetases). tRNAs cope with the degeneracy of the genetic code in two manners: having more than one tRNA (with a specific anti-codon) for a particular amino acid; and 'wobble' base-pairing, i.e. permitting non-standard base-pairing at the 3rd anti-codon position. Lineage: Bacteria; Pseudomonadati; Pseudomonadota; Gammaproteobacteria; Chromatiales; Chromatiaceae. The record is from Rfam by way of RNAcentral.
GGGCGCGUAGCUCAGUGGGAGAGCACUGCCUUCACACGGCAGGGGUCGCUGGUUCGAAACCAGCCGCGCCCA